GAUCCUGGCUCAGGAUGAACGCUAGCUACAGGCUUAACACAUGCAAGUCGAGGGGGCAGCAUGGUCUUAGCUUGCUAAGGCCGAUGGCGACCGGCGCACGGGUGAGUAACACGUAUCCAACCUGCCGUCUACUCUUGGGACAGCCUUCUGAAAGGAAGAUUAAUACAAGAUGGCAUCAUGAGUCCACAUGUUCACAUGAUUAAAGGUAUUCCGGUAGACGAUGGGG
Molecule: ribosomal RNA, 226 nt
Filed under: uncultured bacterium
Lineage: Bacteria
Description: partial 16S ribosomal RNA
Rfam family: Bacterial small subunit ribosomal RNA
Source: RNAcentral